AGGAUUAACGCUGGCGGCGUGCAUGAAACAUGCAAGUCGAGCGCGGUGUGAUGAGGGGUAACCCAAUUCACAUCUAGCGGCGAACGGGUGAGUAACACGUGAGCAACCUACCUUUGAGUUGGGGAUAGCCCUGGGAAACCAGGAUUAAUACCCGAUGUGGUCACAACAGGACAUCCUGAUGUGAGUAAAGGCGUAAGCCGCUCAAUGACGGGCUCGCGGCCUAUUAGCUUGUUGGUGGGGUAACGGCCUACCAAGGCGAUGAUGGGUAGCUGGUCUGAGAGGACGAUCAGCCACACUGGGACUGAGACACGGCCCAGACUCCUACGGGAGGCAGCAGUUAGGAAUUUUCCGCAAUGGGCGAAAGCCUGACGGAGCAACGCCGCGUGAGGGAUGACGGCCUUCGGGUUGUAAACCUCUUUCGACCGGGACGAAGCGUGAGUGACGGUACCGGUAGAAGAAGCACCGGCUAACUACGUGCCAGCAGCCGCGGUAA
Molecule: ribosomal RNA, 493 nt
Filed under: uncultured bacterium
Lineage: Bacteria
Description: SSU rRNA
Rfam family: Bacterial small subunit ribosomal RNA
Source: RNAcentral